Molecule: ribosomal RNA, 253 nt
Filed under: uncultured bacterium
Lineage: Bacteria
Description: partial 16S ribosomal RNA
Rfam family: Bacterial small subunit ribosomal RNA
Source: RNAcentral
GACGGAGGAUGCAAGCGUUAUCCGGAAUGAUUGGGCGUAAAGCGUCCGCAGGUGGCAGUUCAAGUCUGCUGUCAAAGACCGGGGCUUAACUUCGGAAAGGCAGUGGAAACUGAACAGCUAGAGUAUGGUAGGGGCAGAGGGAAUUCCUGGUGUAGCGGUGAAAUGCGUAGAGAUCAGGAAGAACAUCGGUGGCGAAGGCGCUCUGCUGGACCAUAACUGACACUCAGGGACGAAAGCUAGAGGAGCGAAUGGG